CACCCCCAACUUCUUAUGUGUCCUGAUGCAGAGCUUGGGAGGCUCUGUCUAGAAGCCCAAUGUUCUGCAGUCCUCAGAAUGAACAGUCACAGUGGCACACUAAUUCAGCAAUUCAUUUAUCACAGUGUUUGAGAAGUGUUCUGGGGUGGAAGGCGAAGGAUGAUAGAUAGCUGAAGCAAAUGAAAAUUCCCUUUGUCUUAGUAUGAAGGCUUGUUCGGGUGGGGUAAACAGCCACAGGAUGGGGAACUGAAGGCUACUUAUCCACCUGCCUGGUCAAAAUGAGUAGCUGCAGUGUGACCUUUCUCCACCUUGAACCUUAACCAGAAGCCACAAUUCAGUUCAGUUCUCUCCAGGGUGCUCUGAGCAGAAACCCAGUUGUUACCGUAAAUGAAGUAACUGGAUUGCUGUCCUCUAGGGACAGCUGAGAACUAAACUCUUCUUUCUUAGGCUCUCAAGCUGAAGUUGACCUUGUGGCUCAGAGAUGAUGUGCUCAGCCACCCCAACUCCUUUGUUGUCCUGGUUUGAAUUGAAAAAUCUCUGUUUAAUUGUGUUUUGGAAGUAGAAUAUCAAGUGCUGAACUAACUGUGUGUAUUAUC
Chelonoidis abingdonii (Abingdon island giant tortoise) is the source of this 596-nucleotide non-coding RNA. The record is from RefSeq and is a predicted model, not a curated record. NCBI's taxonomy places the organism in Eukaryota, Metazoa, Chordata, Testudines, Testudinidae.